CCUACGGGAGACAGCAGUGAGGAAUAUUGGUCAAUGGGCGGGAGCCUGAACCAGCCAAGUCGCGUGAGGGAAGACGGUCCUAUGGAUUGUAAACCUCUUUAGGCGGGGAGCAAUGCAGGGCACGCGUGCCCGGAGGGAGAGUACCCGCAGAAUAAGCAUCGGCUAACUCCGUGCCAGCAGCCGCGGUAAUACGGAGGAUGCGAGCGUUAUCCGGAUUGAGUGGGGUUAAAGGGUGCGUAGGCGGAUUUUUAAGUCAGCGGUAAAAUGUCCGGGCUCAAACCGUGCCGGCCGUUGAAACUGGGGUUCUUGAGUGGGCGCGAAGUAUGCGGAAUGCGUGGUGUAGCGGUGAAAUGCAUAGAUAUCACGCAGAACUCCGAUUGCGAAGGCAGCAUACCGGCGCCCGACUGACGCUGAGGCACGAAAGCGUGGGGAUCGAACAGGAUUAGAUACCCUAGUAGUC
RNAcentral lists this ribosomal RNA (460 nucleotides) under uncultured bacterium. RNAcentral's name for it is "partial 16S ribosomal RNA". It matches the Rfam family "Bacterial small subunit ribosomal RNA", at positions 338 to 795 of the family's 1533-position model. The record is from RNAcentral.